UACGUAGGGGGCAAGCGUUGUCCGGAAUCAUUGGGCGUAAAGAGCGUGUAGGCGGCUCGAUAAGUCUGCUGUGAAAGUCCAGGGCUCAACCCUGGAAGGCCGGUGGAAACUGUCGGGCUAGAGUCCGGAAGAGGCGAGUGGAAUUCCCGGUGUAGCGGUGAAAUGCGCAGAUAUCGGGAGGAACACCAAUGGCGAAGGCAGCUCGCUGGGACGGUACUGACGCUGGGACGCGAAAGCGUGGGGAGCAAACAGG
RNAcentral lists this ribosomal RNA (253 nucleotides) under uncultured bacterium. RNAcentral describes it as "partial 16S ribosomal RNA". It matches the Rfam family "Bacterial small subunit ribosomal RNA", at positions 524 to 776 of the family's 1533-position model. The record is from RNAcentral.